UCAUCAAAUCAUCGAAGUUUUAUUUAGUUUUUAUCAAGUCUUGUAUCAAACAUCUAUCAAUAAAAUUGCAGGUGUGUUUUCCUUAUGACAGGCUAAAACUUUUAGUUUUCUCCCAAGGGAAGGCCAAGAAAUCCUUAUAGCUGCGUGUUGCUUAGAUUAUCAUAGCCUUGUUAUAAUUGGCUCUUGUGAUAAAAGUCCCUUGAACUUUUGAAAGCCCAGAAGGAGAGAGGCUGUUGUGUUCGGGAAUACCU
Molecule: long non-coding RNA, 251 nt
Filed under: Coffea arabica (coffee)
Lineage: Eukaryota; Viridiplantae; Streptophyta; Magnoliopsida; Gentianales; Rubiaceae
Description: long non-coding RNA (CARA_LNC005362)
Source: RNAcentral